CCUACGGGAGGCAGCAGUGAGGAAUAUUGGUCAAUGGACGAGAGUCUGAACCAGCCAAGUAGCGUGAAGGAUGACUGCCCUAUGGGUUGUAAACUUCUUUUAUAUGGGAAUAAAACAUGGUAUGCAUACCUUCUUGUAUUUACCUUAUGCAUAAGGAACGGCUAACUCCGUGCCAGCAGCCGCGGUAAUACGGAGGAUCCGAGCGUUAUCCGGAUUGAUUGGGUUUAAAGGGAGCGCAGGUGGAUUGUUAAGUCAGAUGUGAAAGUUUGCGGCUCAAACGGAAAAUUGGAGGUGAAACUGGCAGGCUUGAGGAUAGUAGAGGUGGGCAGAAUUCGAGGGGUAGCGGUGAAAUGCUGAGAGAUCAGGAAGAAUUCCGAUGGCGAAGGCAGCUCCCUGGACGAAGACGGACAUUGAGGUUCGAAAGGGUGGGUAGCAAACAGGAGUAGAUACCCUUGGAGUC
RNAcentral lists this ribosomal RNA (460 nucleotides) under uncultured bacterium. Its description in RNAcentral is "partial 16S ribosomal RNA". It matches the Rfam family "Bacterial small subunit ribosomal RNA", at positions 338 to 795 of the family's 1533-position model. The record is from RNAcentral.